Long non-coding RNA from Vespula pensylvanica (western yellowjacket), 262 nucleotides. RefSeq lists it as uncharacterized. The record is from RefSeq and is a predicted model, not a curated record. The transcript is spliced from 3 exons. Lineage: Eukaryota; Metazoa; Arthropoda; Insecta; Hymenoptera; Vespidae.
CCAAGAAGAAUGCUGAUUCAGUAUCCGAUCGCCGUUCGUUACGAAGAUAACUACCUACAUGGACGAUCGUACGAACGAUCAAGUUUAAUGAGAAAAUUUAAUGAAUUAAUUAACAGAUGAAGAUAACAGCUGUUCAACGUGACAUAUUUCAACAUCACAAAUUAAGCUAUACGAUCAUGGAGGCAGAACGAAGAGAGUUCCCUUCGAGUGUUCGAGGUGAGUCGAAUGAAGAAGAAGAAGAAGAAGAAGAAGAAAAAGAGGA